CUGCAACCCGACUCCACGAAGUUGGAUUCGCUAGUAAUCGCGCAUCAGCCAUGGCGCGGUGAAUACGUUCCCGGGCCUUGUACACACCGCCCGUCAAGCCAUGGGAGCCGGGGGCGCCUGAAGUCCGGGACCGCGAGGACCGGCCUAGGGCGAAACUGGUAACUGGGGCUAAGUCGUAACAAGGUAGC
RNAcentral lists this ribosomal RNA (188 nucleotides) under uncultured bacterium. RNAcentral's name for it is "partial 16S ribosomal RNA". It matches the Rfam family "Bacterial small subunit ribosomal RNA", at positions 1305 to 1500 of the family's 1533-position model. The record is from RNAcentral.